GGCUGCCUGGCGAAAUGGCAUCGCGUCUGACUACGACACAGUGAAAUCAGGAGAUUGCAGGUUCGAUCCCUGCGGUGGUCA
Molecule: transfer RNA, 81 nt
Filed under: Sphaerobolus stellatus SS14
Lineage: Eukaryota; Fungi; Basidiomycota; Agaricomycetes; Geastrales; Sphaerobolaceae
Rfam family: tRNA
About the family: Transfer RNA (tRNA) molecules are approximately 80 nucleotides in length. Their secondary structure includes four short double-helical elements and three loops (D, anti-codon, and T loops).
Source: Rfam by way of RNAcentral